Phaethon lepturus (White-tailed tropicbird) is the source of this 47-nucleotide regulatory RNA element. It matches the Rfam family "Histone 3' UTR stem-loop". Rfam says of the family: The mRNAs of metazoan histone genes lack a poly-A tail. 3' end processing occurs at a site between a highly conserved stem-loop (modelled by this family) and a purine rich region around 20 nts downstream (the histone downstream element, or HDE). The record is from Rfam. NCBI's taxonomy places the organism in Eukaryota, Metazoa, Chordata, Aves, Phaethontiformes, Phaethontidae.
GAAAAGGCUCUUUUCAGAGCCACCCACGAUGUCAUAAAGAGUUGAGU